UGUGUUUUCAUAAAUUAAAUGCAAUCUCUUCUUUGAAAAUAGGCACGAAUCUUUGUGUUUAAACAUGUUUUGUCAAAACCUUUUUUGGAUUGACUUUAUUUUGUUCUCUGUGCCAUGGACACAACCAGAUACGCUUGUCGAUUGCAUGAUUAUUGUCAUGAACUCUCUUCAGAUCAUUCUCUUUUGAAAAUAUCAGUAGGAAGUAAAUAAUAGACCUUCUAGUCUUUUGUCAUCUACAGACAGUUUGUAUGCUUUGUUUUACUCCUGAUGCUUCCAUGAAAAUACCUGGAAUCAGCUGGAAGGCAGAGCGUUCCAUAUUUAACAAAGGAUUGUCUUAAGAGCCUGGAGACUCUGCCAGAUACUCUUGGGUGCAGGCUUCUGAUGGCAUUGUUUAACUAUGAGAUCAUACCAGUGGACUGAGUCAGGAGUUCCAGACAUCCAGUCAAGAAGUAGAUGUGUUCCUGAGACUACUAAGCCUGGAUCAAGUGGAACAAGAAUUAUUACACAGGACUGAACGAACUGAUCAUUCAUGAUUAUGGGCUUUGUUUGGAACAGUGCUGAUGCUCUCGUGUUCUAUUUUCUGGAUGUAAGGAUGCACUUUCUCUCUUCUCUCAAGCUAUCUAGCACUCACAACAAUUUAGUAGACUGUGCUCUUGUGAAACAGAAAGGAAACAUUCCUCUUCUCUGCCCUGCCUCACCCUUCCAAAUUCUGGGAAGUCUCGUGGAGUAUUCCUGUUUUCGUGGCACUGUAGUUAUUUGCAUAGAUUCGGUAAGAGCCUGUCCACCUUGUUAAUAGGACAUAACUGGAAGCAUUGGUUAAUCAAGGCUGGCUCUGCCUAUAAUGUCACAGUUGAGAAUGAUGCUCGUUUCGUCAGAUGUGACCAGACGCUUUUCAGCAAUUAAGGUUGACAUGAUGGGCCAAUGCUUACAAAGUCCGUCUUGGGAAAACUGGCCUGGCAACCGGCUUUAUAGGGUUCCCAGCCUUAUAGGUGAGCAAGGAAGGUCACUUCCUGGCAGGCUCAGGAAUCCUAGGCUAUUUUGAGGACCUCAGGAAGAGAGGAAUGCCCACCAGAUCACUAGGUACUGCAGGUGGAAAAUGAUGGUGAGGUUUUGGCUCGGCUUCCUAGCCUCAAGAGGCUCUGGAAAGUCCAAUCUGAGAUUCUUUCUGAAAGCGUCCAGAGAAGCCAGUAUAAGACCUACGUGGUACCACGUCGUUCUUGCUGCAUCUAUGUAAAUAACCAGGCCACCUCCAGUGAGACCAGCCUUAUUUUGUGACCAAGAGUCCUCUUUCUUUGAGAUUGUCUUUGAUCAAGAGGGGAAAGGGACUGUAGAGAGCCUUUGGUGUUUCAAUGGGAAACUAUAGCAUGCUCUUUUGGAUUACCGGAUUCUGACCCUAUUCAUUGCCUUUGAGCUAUUUUGCACCUCUGUAAACUGCAGAUCUAUCUGGAAACUUUGUUUUGUCUGGUAACUAAGCUUUCUGUUUCCCUGUGCAAAAACCAGCUUGAUGUUUACUUCUAAAUUGCACUGUGUUUUCUCACCUUGCACAACUUGUCAACCCUUAACCAGAUUUUCAGUUCUUACGGUUUCCUUCAAUAUUUGGCUAUAAACUAAUCUUAGCCUCAAAAUAAACUUUCCCAUUUUUCUGCCUCCUUCUCGACUUGGAGUCAUGAGAACUACAAACCGAUUGCCAGGUUUUUAUUGGGACUCUGAAAUUGCCUUUGCUGGUCUUUGCCUCCAAAAUCUGAAGAGUCACUGCAAGCUGAAGCCUAAGGACUUUUUAUAAGAUUGGAAGGACUCAUCAUCCCACCUGAUCAUUCAUGGUCCAGCUCUUUCCGUGCAUAGGCCACUGCUUGCACUACCAAGCAAGUGUGGCGAAGUACUCAAGCCAUCCAUCCUUAUUGGAGAAGAACCAAUGCUGUGGACACCACCACCAAUGCAAUUGACAUCUCAGCUUCAAAAAACUCAGUGAGUGUUUUCUUGGAAGUUCCACCAAAAUACAGUUGGCACUGACCAUCACCGUGGCCUCCAGUCUUAGACCAGGCACCCAGAACCUGUUGUGCCUCACUGCUCACUGCUCAUCAAGUCCACAACGACGUGAUGAUCCCAAUGAUGACAAAACAACUGAAAGGUCAGGAAGAUCUCGCAUACAGUUGACUAUGGAGGUGACUAACAAUCUCUGAGCAGCGCAGAUCUGGAUCACUAGCUUUCUCUGAAUUGGCCAACUUCUUGCAAAUAACCCUGUUUAAGAUGUCCGGACUUCAAGAUUCUAAAACAAUUGACCUUUGCUAUAACCUCUCAACAGAUGGUCCAGCUUAUUUUACAGGAACAAUACCAACAAAAGUCCUAGACAGAUCCUGCUUUGUCUCACUUGGGAGGUUUAUGCUGGUCUUUUACUUGUUUAGGUUAGUUUAUUAUAUUCAUUCUUAUUGAACAAAAGGAGGGUUUGACAGUGUCAGCUCUGUAUUUAUCUGAGCUCUGUAUUCCUGGAAAACAUUGAUGGUUAAUAAAUCCCCCAUCUUUUGUGUUCAGUUUCUUACUGAAAAGAGCCACCACCCUUCUGCAUACCAUUUAUGGAAGACUCCUCAUCCAUUUUUUCUCGUGACUCCAAUAAGAGUUGUGUGUCAAGGUGUCUAUGGAAAAUUGAUUUUUGGCAAAGAUGCCAGCACCAUUCAAAGGCAAAAGCAUAGUGCUUUCAACAAAUGAUUCUGGGACAACUGGAUACAGUCACACACAGGAGAAUGAAGUUGGAUCUUUACCUCACCACUAUAUAAAAAAUAACUCAAAGUGAAUCAAAAAUCCAAGUCUAAGAGCUAAAACUGUGGGAUUCUUAGAAGAAAACAUAGAGGUAAAUGUUCAUGACAUCAGGUGUGGCAAUGGAAUUUGAGAUAUGACUCCAAACACAAGCAACAAGACAAAAAAACAGAUAAUUUGAGCUUCAUUAAAAUUAAAAAAUUUGUGGGAUGCCUGAUGGCUUGGUUGGUUAAGGAUCAGAUUUCAGCUGAGGUCAUGAUCUCACAUUUCGUGGGUUCGAGCGCCAUGGCGGGCUCUGUGCUGAUAGAGCACAGGCUCUAAGGAGCCUGGAGCCUGCUUCAGAUUCUUCUCCACCUCUCUCUGCCCCUCCCCUGCUCACACUCUGUCUCUCAAAAAAGAAUAAAAAACAUUAAAAAAUAAAAAAUAUAUUAAAACUUUUGUGCUUCAAAAGAUACUAUCAAGAAAGUGAAAAGACAACCUAAAGACUAUAGCUAUAUUUGAAAAUUGUGUAUCUGUUAAGGAACUUGUAUCUAGAAUAUAUAAAGAAUUCUUACAAUUCAGUAAUAAAAAUGACAAAUAACCUAGUUUAAAAAGGCAAA
Long non-coding RNA from Neofelis nebulosa (Clouded leopard), 3350 nucleotides. RefSeq lists it as uncharacterized. Lineage: Eukaryota; Metazoa; Chordata; Mammalia; Carnivora; Felidae. The transcript is spliced from 4 exons. The record is from RefSeq and is a predicted model, not a curated record.